Molecule: ribosomal RNA, 473 nt
Filed under: uncultured bacterium
Lineage: Bacteria
Description: bacterial SSU rRNA
Rfam family: Bacterial small subunit ribosomal RNA
Source: RNAcentral
UGGCGGCAUGCCUUACACAUGCAAGUCGAACGGCAGCACGGGAGCAAUCCUGGUGGCGAGUGGCGAACGGGUGAGUAAUAUAUCGGAACGUGCCCGGUCGUGGGGGAUAACGUAGCGAAAGCUACGCUAAUACCGCAUACGAUCUACGGAUGAAAGCGGGGAUCGCAAGACCUCGCGCGAUUGGAGCGGCCGAUAUCAGAUUAGGUAGUUGGUGAGGUAAAGGCUCACCAAGCCGACGAUCUGUAGCUGGUCUGAGAGGACGACCAGCCACACUGGGACUGAGACACGGCCCAGACUCCUACGGGAGGCAGCAGUGGGAAUUUUGGACAAUGGGCGCAAGCCUGAUCCAGCAAUGCCGCGUGCAGGAUGAAGGCCUUCGGGUUGUAAACUGCUUUUGUACGGAACGAAACGGUGAGCUCUAAUACAGUUUGCUAAUGACGGUACCGUAAGAAUAAGCACCGGCUAACUACGUG